Molecule: ribosomal RNA, 329 nt
Filed under: Kumbadjena sp. DNA104665
Lineage: Eukaryota; Metazoa; Onychophora; Udeonychophora; Euonychophora; Peripatopsidae
Description: eukaryotic LSU rRNA
Rfam family: Eukaryotic large subunit ribosomal RNA
Source: RNAcentral
CCAAGGAGUCUAACACGUGCGCAAGUCGUAGGGUUUCCCUCGAAGCCCGAAGGCGCAAUGAAAGUGAACCGUAGGCGGGAUCCCUGUUUUUGUGCGAGAGCACGACGGGGCGCACCGCCGGCCCGUCUCGUUUGGUCGGCCCCUUGUUUGUCGGUACCCUUCUCCUCCGGGUGAAGGGUGCGGAACAGGGUUCGACGGAGGCGGAGCGAGAGCGUACACGUUAGGACCCGAAAGACGGUGAACUAUUCCCGGACAGGACGAAGCCGGAGGAAACUCCGGUGGAGGUCCGUAGCGAUUCUGACGUGCAAAUCGAUCGUCGGAUCCGGGUA